This 2183-nucleotide long non-coding RNA is filed under the name Manihot esculenta (cassava). RNAcentral's name for it is "long non-coding RNA (MESC_LNC000492)". Lineage: Eukaryota; Viridiplantae; Streptophyta; Magnoliopsida; Malpighiales; Euphorbiaceae. The record is from RNAcentral.
GUUGACCAUGUAUGGGAUUAAACAGGUUCACAGGAUGUAUGUUUGGCUUGCUACGGGUUCUGGCGGCCUUAAGCCGACCUGAAUCCUAGCGCCGGUAGCGGUCCGGUUUCCGGGUCGUUACAGAGUGGUAUCAGAUCCCUAGGUUCAUAUGGUCGGACCUAGAGUGUCGGGCUCAUAGAUGUGAUAGGAAGUCAAGCACAAUAGGAAAUCAUGUCCACUAGGAUAGGAUGUAGAGUCCUGUCUAGAAUGAAAGUAUGAUAUGCCAUGAGAUAUGCUAUGUAUAUGAUGUGGGUUCAUGUGUUUCCACAUGAACCAUUGGAUGCUAAUGUUUUGUUAUCUGUGCUGUUUUUCAGUAAACAGAAUGCGAGGAACUCGUCGAUCAGCUAGAUUGACUAGAGUACCACCGGAGGAUGAGGGCACGAGCGCCCGUCCUCCAGCAUUGCCAAGGGCAAUGUCAAGUAGGUCCAACAGGGACAGAGCAGUGGGAGACCCUAGAAGAUCUCUGGAUCUGGGUAGAAACAGAUCAGUAAGAGGAACGGUUCAAGGAGGCAGGUCAGUGGAUGUGGGAGAAGAGAUGGAUGUGGACCAGAGGAGGGAUGGUAGUCUUGGUGUGAGCAUGCCAGAAGAGGGCAUGAGUGAGUCUCAGGGAGGCACUCAGGCCUCGGGGUUCGUUCCACCACCCCAGUACCCACCUUUUUCACCAUACCCCGGGUAUUCGAUGGGAGGUACAUCGGAUUACCCCAGUUUUAAUCCUUACCCUUCUCACAUGCCAUACCCACCUUUCUACUCACAGUAUCCACAGUACCCUAUGUACCCACCUCCAUCCUUCCAUCCAGGCACAGCAAACCCUAUCCCAGGGGAUGCCGCACCUCCACCACCAGCAGAAACCGCAGUUACAGAAACCCAAAGACCUCAACCUACCUCAUCUGGAGGGAGCAAGGCCAAGAUGACCGACUAUAUGAAGUUGGGUGCUCCCCAGUUUGAUACCGGUGAUGAUCCGUUUGUGUACCUGGAGAAGGUCAAAACAAUUAUAGAUGAGAUAGGGGCUGAUGACAGUAGAGCCAUUCAGAUGGCUGGUUUCACUCUGAAAUGCAAGAAGGCACGAGAGUGGUUCAAGAACUAUGUGAAACCAAGGGUGGACAAUCUGUCAUGGGAGGAGUUUGCGAAUGAGUUCGCAGGAUGGGCUUUCCCUGACAGUUCCAGGGAGCUGAAGGUGAUUGAGUUUGAACAGCUGAAGCAGACAGAUGAGAUGGGUGUCGAUGAGUACACCGAUAGAUUCUUAGAGUUGUUGCCGUUUGCUGGGCAACAUCUGGACACAGAUCCGAAGAAGUCGAGGAGGUAUAUCAUGAGGCUCAAUUCCAGGUAUUCCUCUUUGAUUCAGUCAGCUGAUAGAGAAAGUUUCCAUGCCAUUAUAGACAUGGCCAGGAGAAUGGAGGCUAGUGCCGUAAUAGAGGGAAAAGUCAAGCAGUCAGUGGCACAGCCUUCUGGCUCUAAGACCCCAGGUGGGGGAAGGAUAGACCCUUCAUCCUUGAGUUCAGCUAGUAAGAAGUGGGGCAGUACCACUAAGAAACCAAAGAAGAAUAAGUUCUGGAGCAAGAUCAAAUCAGGUCUGGGAUUAGGAGGUGGCUCAAGCUCUGGUGCUGAUAACGCAGUGUGUGCAAGGUGUGGUAAGCUACACAGGGGGGUAUGCCAGUUUGGGACGACAGCCUGCUACAGGUGUGGGCAAGAGGGACAUAUGUCUUGGGAAUGUCCGAGGGCAGUUCCUACGGCACAGCCCCAGCAGACAACUUCGGGUAGCGUAGCACAGCCAGCAGCUUCAGCCGCAACACAGGCUAGUGGCAGAGGCCGAGGGAGAGGGUCAGCCUCUUCUUCAUCAGUUUACAGAGGGGAAGGUCCGUCAGCUCCAGCACGGAUCUUCACAAUGACGCAGCAGGAGGCAAACGCAUCCAACACCGUGGUGUCAGGUAAUAUCAUCAUUGGUUGUUCAGAUGUUUGUGCCUUAAUGGACCCGGGUGCAUCCCAUUCUUUUGUUUCUCCGAGAGCGGUCGAGAGGUUGGGUUUGAUGGUCUCUGGGUUAGAGUGUCCCCUAUGGGUCAGCGGACCCAAAUGUGACCCGUCAGUGGCAGAGUCAGUCUGCCAGUACAGUCCAGUUUUCAUAGAGGGAAGAUGCCUAUCCGCCNNNN